This 450-nucleotide ribosomal RNA is filed under the name uncultured bacterium. RNAcentral describes it as "bacterial SSU rRNA". It matches the Rfam family "Bacterial small subunit ribosomal RNA", at positions 354 to 796 of the family's 1533-position model. The record is from RNAcentral.
GUGGGGAAUAUUGGACAAUGGGCGAAAGCCUGAUCCAGCCAUGCCGCGUGUGUGAAGAAGGUCUUCGGAUUGUAAAGCACUUUAAGUUGGGAGGAAGGGCAGUAAGUUAAUACCUUGCUGUUUUGACGUUACCGACAGAAUAAGCACCGGCUAACUUCGUGCCAGCAGCCGCGGUAAUACGAAGGGUGCAAGCGUUAAUCGGAAUUACUGGGCGUAAAGCGCGCGUAGGUGGUUCAGCAAGUUGAAGGUGAAAUCCCCGGGCUCAACCUGGGAACUGCCUCCAAAACUGCAUGACUAGAGUACGGUAGAGGGUAGUGGAAUUUCCUGUGUAGCGGUGAAAUGCGUAGAUAUAGGAAGGAACACCAGUGGCGAAGGCGACUACCUGGACUGAUACUGACACUGAGGUGCGAAAGCGUGGGGAGCAAACAGGAUUAGAAACCCCGGUAGUCC